UUACCGAGUUUACAACUCCCAAACCCCUGUGAACAUACCACUUGUUGCCUCGGCGGAUCAGCCCGCUCCCGGUAAAACGGGACGGCCCGCCAGAGGACCCCUAAACUCUGUUUCUAUAUGUAACUUCUGAGUAAAACCAUAAAUAAAUCAAAACUUUCAACAACGGAUCUCUUGGUUCUGGCAUCGAUGAAGAACGCAGCAAAAUGCGAUAAGUAAUGUGAAUUGCAGAAUUCAGUGAAUCAUCGAAUCUUUGAACGCACAUUGCGCCCGCCAGUAUUCUGGCGGGCAUGCCUGUUCGAGCGUCAUUUCAACCCUCAAGCACAGCUUGGUGUUGGGACUCGCGUUAAUUCGCGUUCCCCAAAUUGAUUGGCGGUCACGUCGAGCUUCCAUAGCGUAGUAGUAAAACCCUCGUUACUGGUAAUCGUCGCGGCCACGCCGUUAAACCCCAACUUCUGAAUGUUGACCUCGGAUCAGGUAGGAAUACCCGCUGAACUUAAGCAUAUCA
This 505-nucleotide ribosomal RNA is filed under the name Fusarium oxysporum. RNAcentral's name for it is "eukaryotic LSU rRNA". The stretch from base 152 to 305 matches the Rfam family "5.8S ribosomal RNA". The record is from RNAcentral. Lineage: Eukaryota; Fungi; Ascomycota; Sordariomycetes; Hypocreales; Nectriaceae.